ACAACCAUACCAUGCUGAAUAUACCGGUUCUCGUUAGAUCACCGAAGUCAAGCAUCAUUGGGCGCUUGUCAGUACUUGGGUGGGGGUGACCACCUGGG
RNAcentral lists this ribosomal RNA (98 nucleotides) under Caerostris darwini. The record is from RNAcentral. Lineage: Eukaryota; Metazoa; Arthropoda; Arachnida; Araneae; Araneidae.